Molecule: ribosomal RNA, 836 nt
Filed under: uncultured bacterium
Lineage: Bacteria
Description: SSU rRNA
Rfam family: Bacterial small subunit ribosomal RNA
Source: RNAcentral
GCAGUCGAACGCGAAAGGGGCUUCGGCCCUGAGUAGAGUGGCAGACGGGUGAGUAACGCGUGGGUGACCUACCCUCGAGCGGGGGAUAACGUUCCGAAAGGGACGCUAAUACCGCAUGACAUCCUGUCCUUGGACGGAUGGUGAUCAAAGCUGGGGACCGCAAGGCCUGGCACUCGAGGAGGGGCCCGCGUCCGAUUAGCUAGUUGGUGAGGUAACGGCUCACCAAGGCUUCGAUCGGUAGCCGGCCUGAGAGGGCGGACGGCCACACUGGGACUGAGACACGGCCCAGACUCCUACGGGAGGCAGCAGUGGGGAAUUGUUCGCAAUGGGCGCAAGCCUGACGACGCAACGCCGCGUGGAGGAUGAAGAUCUUCGGGUCGUAAACUCCUGUCGAAUGGGACGAAUGGCUCGGCCGUGAAUAACGGCUGGGAAUGACGGUACCGUGAGGGGAAGCCCCGGCUAACUCCGUGCCAGCAGCCGCGGUAAUACGGGGGGGGCAAGCGUUGUUCGGAAUUACCGGGCGUAAAGGGCUCGUAGGUGGCCCGCUAAGUUGGACGUGAAAUCCCUCGGCUCAACCGGGGAACUGCGUCCAAGACUGGCAGGCUUGAAUCCGGGAGAGGGACGUGGAAUUCCAGGUGUAGCGGUGAAAUGCGUAGAUAUCUGGAGGAACACCGGUGGCGAAGGCGGCGUCCUGGACCGGUAUUGACACUGAGGAGCGAAAGCCAGGGGAGCAAACGGGAUUAGAUACCCCGGUAGUCCUGGCCCUAAACGAUGAGUGCUUGGUGUGGCGGGUAUCGAUCCCCGCCGUGCCGGAGCUAACGCGUUAAGCACUCCGC